CUUUCUCAGAGGGGUUUCAUAAAAUUUAAGAUUAUAGAAACCAACACAACAUUAGGUCAUGAACUUUCAAACAAUUGUACUUUACCUCAGACUUGCUUCUGUCUAAUGGACAAUUCAUGGUAACAGAAUGAGAAAGGCCUAUCAUAAAAUAACCAAAUGUAGCUAUGUCCUGACCUCAAGGCAAUCUUCAGUCCCACUGAGGAAAACAAUUACCCUUCAUUGUAAUAAGUUUCACUGCCCUGAAAUAUUACUAGCAUUUUUUUAACGACUGUGACAAUUUCCCCCCAUCGGACCACCACAUACCAUGUGGAGGAAAUCAACUUCUGUGCUACAGACAAGAUCAUUAAGGAGUCAAUUUUUCAGUAUUUACGUAUAACCAAAGCACGGGAUCUUUUAUGCCAACCCCCUGAUCACACCAAUAUUAACACACCAACAACAAAAUAACCAUAAAAUGGGAGAGAUUGUGGAAGUGGAGGAGUAACCCUGAAGAUAUUUCACAUACUAACUGUAAAUGUAUUUCAACAGAAAUAACUCUCACUGCUACAUCAGAAGUCACACACGGUGGUGCUGGGUAUUGUUCGGGUUACCUGCUCUGUUAUCUGCAGUUUGGAACAGUCUUACAUUUUGAACACUCUGUAAAAAGUUCUGUGAAACUUCAAACACCAUAGGGAUAUCUAUUAUCUACAGACCAUCUGUUUUAAAUAAAAUUCUUACUAGAA
Molecule: long non-coding RNA, 719 nt
Organism: Phodopus roborovskii (desert hamster)
Lineage: Eukaryota; Metazoa; Chordata; Mammalia; Rodentia; Cricetidae
Exons: 2
Source: RefSeq, a predicted model, not a curated record